UACGUAGGGUGCAAGCGUUGUCCGGAAUUAUUGGGCGUAAAGAGCUCGUAGGCGGUCUGUCGCGUCUGCUGUGAAAACUCAGGGCUUAACCCUGAGCUUGCAGUGGGUACGGGCAGACUAGAGUGCGGUAGGGGAGACUGGAAUUCCUGGUGUAGCGGUGAAAUGCGCAGAUAUCAGGAGGAACACCGGUGGCGAAGGCGGGUCUCUGGGCCGUAACUGACGCUGGAGGAGCGAAA
RNAcentral lists this ribosomal RNA (236 nucleotides) under uncultured bacterium. Its description in RNAcentral is "partial 16S ribosomal RNA". It matches the Rfam family "Bacterial small subunit ribosomal RNA", at positions 524 to 758 of the family's 1533-position model. The record is from RNAcentral.